AAGUCACCACCCUGCCCCCACACCAGCCCCCACCCCGCUUCCCCGCCCCAUCAAUGGCUCCACUGUUCUCCAGCGACCCCGGUGUGAAACUUCAGAGUCAUUUUCGACUCAUCCGCCCCCUUCAUCCCCCCGCAGCUAAUCAGCAGCCACGACAGCUUUUCCUUCAAAACGCUGCUCACAUCCGUUGUCCCUCCCUGGUAGUCGAGUCCCCUCCGUCUGAAGUCUGGAUGAUUUCGUCCGCUUUCUAACGGGCCAGUGUCCCCUCACCUUCCAUCACACCCAGCAGAGCUCUGGAAAUGCCACAAGUGCGCUCCUCCUAGGAACGCACCCCUGUGAGCCGGCAUGGGAUGAGCUGCCCUGACUGUCAGCGAGGGCCCGGGGGAGGCUGGGGUCUCGGUCUUGGGGGUAGAGGGAGCCCCGGGUGGAGUCUGGGGGUGCACAUAGUAAACGCCGACCCUUCCCCGUCAUGUCCCGAGUGGGUCACCUCCCGAGACAGCCCUCCUGGUGCGCACACGCAUGUCCACGCACACGUUGGUUCAGUCACACCUGUUGACUCUGCUCUUCGUUACGCGUAGUGCUGAGCGUGUGCAGGGGCUCCAGGAUGGUUAAGACGUGGGCUUCGCAGAGGAGGGGCCGUUCAGCUGGGUCUUGGAGGACGGGGCGUAGUUCGGCUGAGCAACAAUGCUUCCGGUGGGGCAGGCAGCCUGUCCAUGGCGUGCGUAGAGGGGCUGGAAGGCACUUGGCAUGGCCAGUGCUGAGAGGGACCGGGUGGGCCAGGGACGGGCUCCCCGCUGCUCAGGGGUGAGCAACGGCAGGGACCCCUUAUCGCCAUCUGGAAUUCAUGUCCCCUGAGCGGAGCUGACUCCCCCAGCCACGGAGGCAACUCCUCUGUAAAAAAAAUCAAAGUGACAGUCUGUGGGCCUGACACUUGACAGUUUACACAAUGCUGUCCUUCCCUAGGCCCUUGUCUUUCUUUCCCGUGAGGUGGGACUGGACAGGGCUUGUUGCUUGCAUUUUACAGAUGAGGAAGCUGAGGCCCACAGAGGGGUAGGAGCUUGCCCAGGGUGACCAGCUGGUCUUGGGCAGAGUCAGGCCUGGAAGCUCCCUGGUCCUGGAUCCCAGAGUCUAGAGGUCACUGGGAAGGGAGGGGGCUCAAGCCUGGUGCCCCAGGUCCUCCUGGGGAGGGGCAGCCUCUGUGGGACUAGAUGGGCCGAUAGGUCCAGCUGCUGGGAGCCCCGGACCGAGGAUCGUGCCCACUGGGUCUCGCCAGGGCAAACCAUGCUGGUCUGGCUCAGCCUCUGCCACGGAGCCCCCUUCUGGGGUGCGCUGGGGGCAGGGGUCUGGCCCGAAGAAGCGGGAGGGACUGGGUGGCGGAUUUGUGUUUCCACUUGAUUUCCUCAGUUGUUUUCCAAGAGCGGUGGCAGGAUCCCCAGGGGCGGGGUGGAGGCGGGGAGGCCACCGGAAGGCACCACGGCCCUGCUGCCCGCCCCCCACGUGACUCCCCUGACUGACGACAGUACCGCGUGGAAGCGCCUCGAGGCUUCCGUCCUGGCGAGGGUGUGACGUGGGCCAGGGCACUGGGCCCGCGCUUGGUGACUUCCCGCGUGACCCGCAGCGUCUCCAGUGCUCUUUCCACUGGGCCCAAACCUUAGACUGUGAGUGCCUGCGACAGCCACCUGACCCCGCUUGCAGCAGAACCCCAUAGCCAGGCACCCAGGACCCCAGUUCUCCCAGUUCCCCUCCGACCUCUCCAGCUGCCCCUCUCAGCUCCAUGGCCAGCUCCCCCUCCUCCAGCUGCCUUGCCACGGGCCAUCGGUCCCCAACUGCCCCAGCCGGGCCACCCUGGGCUCACGUCCCCACUGGUUAUCUUCCCUGCCUUCCGGGGCUGCCCUCGCUCCCGUCCCUGGCCUCAGGCCUGGCCUCUCCCCUUUCACUCCCCGCUGCGUCCUGGGCCUAUUUGCACCUUCUCAGACUGGUGGCGAGGGGUGGGGUCAGCUGCUCCUGGCUUCAGGAUCCGCUCCGCCACCUCCUGGCUGAGUGGUAACAGUUGAAUUGCAGCCCUUCUCUGUGCUUCCGUGCUGGAUCUAAGGAGACAGAGGUGCUUGGCACAGGGCGGGGUGGGGCAGGUAACGCAAGAGUUCAAAGGAGCCAGGCUUCUCCCAGCGUUAGAAUCCCAGCUCUGACACCAGCUGUGCACCCCUCAACAAUGAUGAUGACAGCUCCCCGAGCCUCAGUUUCCUCCUCUGUAAAAUGGGUACAAUAAUAGUUCCUUCCCAUUGGGACGGAAUGAACUACUCCCACAGGCGGGAUUCUCAACCUGGCUAGGGAGUUGUGCCAUACAGCUCUGAACAGUGGGUCAGAAUCAGCCAGAGACAAGGGGGGUGGGGGCUCCACAGGGAGGGCAGGGCUUGAGCAGAGGCUGGACAUGGAAACCGGGAGCUUUAAGCCCAAGGCUGGAAGGGGUGGAGGUGAGACUCGGAGCUCUGGCCUAGGAGGGGCUGGGGCUACCCAGGAUCCCACCCCAGCCUCCCCACCCCACGUUGCCAGCCAGGGCGCAGCCCUCACCUUUCCUGCUCUCCCAGCUGGUUCCCUGCUCCGUGCCUUUAUUAUGCUGGUCCUUCCACAAGCCCUCUGGUGCCUCCUGGCCUAUGCAAACCCUACCCAUCCCUCAUGAUACUACAACUACAACUUGCUUCCUCCAGGAAGCCUCUGGGCCCCCUGCCAUGGCCAUGCCCCUCUCCCUCCCCCACUCCCUCUCUCUCCUGCUCCUGUUUUCUCUCACUCCUCUGCAGCCCUGCCUGUUGCACAAAUCCACCGUGUUGACCAUCUUGUAAGUGGUGCACAGGCCUGGAGCCCAGCAGGACCCCGUGACCAUUAACCACCAUCAGCAGUGCCUCCCUGCCGGCUUUACACCCACCCCAGCGCGCGCACAGCUCUCACCUCAUCUGAUCCUCACCACCACCCUCUGGGGCCAGAAAGGAUGAGGUCCACUGGGCAAAUGAGGAUGCAGAGGCUUGAGAGGCCCGGGCUGCCUACAGCAAGUCAGGGGGGGCAGACAGGAUCACAGGGGUCUCUCUCUCGCCUGGCCCACGGUGCCUACCAUGGCUGGGGUGCUCUCUGUUCAGUUGGAACCCCCAAAUCUGUCCUGUUUUGUCCCUCUGGGCCUCACAGCCUCCCUCUCCUACCCACUGGCCCCUCUGUUGUCUGAAGCCCCCUCAUACUGUCACUACUUUCUGUAGCAACUGCCCCACCCCACCUCACAGCUCCAGGCACUGGACAGGGCUGAGCUGGGGCCACAGGUGCAUGGGAACACACAGAGGUGCAGGGAAGGGCCUAGCACUAGGGGUCGGGAGGCACUGCCCCUUCGGCUGGUGACCAUCUGCCAUCUCUCACCUCUUACAGCCUAUUUCCACCCCCUGAGGAUUGAUCUGUACCCACCAGACCUGCGAGGCGCAUGUGGUGUUACAGAUGAGGAAUCUGGGGCUCUGGGAGGCCAGGGACCUGCCUGAGGUGGAAGGCAGGGUGCUGAGCCCCUGCUUUUCUGGGCUGUUUGCUGAUGUCACAACACAGUGGGGCUGGGGGGGGGGGGCUCCCGAGAGCCCUUUGUGAAGCUCGAAAAACUGCCCGAAGAAGAGGCUUCGUUCUUCGACCAGGGGUCCACAGGCAAGGAUCGCGCUCCAGUGGGUCCCCUUCGGACACCUGGGACCCCACCAUCUGUGAGCCGCCCCCCACCCCGGAGGUGGGGGAAGCCUUGCUCUCUUUAGGGCCCUGCCUGGCCCAAGGACCAUGUGACCCAUUCUUAGCACCUAGAAAGUGCUGGGCCAACACUUACUCAGAGAACGGUUGCACCUGUGAUGGGAGGGUGGGAAGCCGGGGAGGAGGAGUGCGAGAGGGGAGCACGCAGGGUUAGGGGCUGUGGCAAAAGUCCUGCUGGGUCUCCAGCUCUCGCCCUUGACCUCUGCCGUCUAUCUCGCACACGGCAGCCAGAGAGUCCUUGUUGAAAUGGAACUCAGACGACUCGAGCCCUGCUCCAAGCUCCCGUGGGCCCUUCACACCUGGGCCCCUCCAGCCUUCCCGGUGAUCUGACCCCCGGCUCACUCCAGCCACUCUGGUCUCCUAGCUCUUCUGAGACUCACAGCACAGUCCCUCUCAGGGCCUUUGCAAGCGCUGUACCAACUGACUGGAGUAUUCUCUGCCCAGAUGUUCCUCCUCUCUCCAUUCAGAUCUUUGUCGAAUAGCACACCCUUGCAGGGGCCUUCCCUGACCACCAUUUCUAAUGUAACCCCUCCUGUCACUGUCUCCCUUUGCCCUGCUUUGUCAUCAUCGAGCUUGUAGCCACCUGCCAUUAGCCUGUUUACCUGUUCCUCAUCUGCCCCCUGAGGGCAGGGUGGUCUGUUUGGUCCACUGCUGAGCCCCAGAGCCGGGUCAGCGCUGGGCACAGGGCUCCAUGUGUAUUUGUGGAGGAAGGAAGGAAGGAAGGAUCUCUUUCUCCUGCUUAUUCAUGGGGUGCCUCCCACACGUGGCCCAGUGUCAGGUGCUUUUAGAACGACGGGCAUCAGCAGAAGGGACCACUGCUCACCUCAGCCAGGCUGGCCGCGAGGUACACGUGACGAGCCCAGAGCACAGUGGCUUCUUCCGGUAUCCUGUGCCUCAUAACAGAUGCGGUCUCUAGAGGCCUGAGAACCCGGGCUCGUGGGUCGAGAUGGGAAGGGGAGAAAGCUGGUGGGGCUGAAAGAUUUAAUUAAAGUUUGGAAAAAACUUACAGCAAAACUCUGCAAAGAUGGAAGGGACUUCCUCAGGAGGAAAUACACCGCCUGGCAGCAGAGGGAGGCUGGUGGAGGCUGGGCAGCCCUGGAGCCGGGACCAGCCCUAGGACCUGCGGCCGUGCUGCCAGGACUCGGAGUGGAGGGGUGCCCUCGGGGUGGGGUGGGCCGGCCCUGAGGCUGGAAGCAGGCAGGGGUCACACGUCUGGCCAGGCCCAGGCAGCGGAAGCCACGGCUCCAGUCCCCCGUCUAAAGGUAGCUGGGCCCCGGCCAAGCGGCCAUCUUGGGGCUCUGGGCCCUCCGACCGCAGACCAGGCCUGGGAGACAGGAAAUUGCGGGCUCAGGGCCGGAAAGGCCCCCCAGUGGGCCCUCGCUCCCUCCUGCCUCCCGAAGUGGCCUCGGGCUCCUGCGCCCCGCGCCCAUGGGGUUAACUCUCUCCCUGUCUCUCUCUCUCCAAGUUGUUUUCCAAGCGAGGCAGAGAAUGGUUCUCUUGUUACCAACAUGGCUUCUGGGCAUUGGGUAAUGUGCGCCUCUUCUCCCGGCCGCUCCACAAAGGGACCUUUUGUUCCCCUCCCUGCCCCUCUCUCUGGCUCUUCCCCGGCCCCCCACACACCCACCCGCUCCGACUCCCUCCUGCCCGCGCCUCCCGCCCUGCACGACACCCCCGGGCCGCCAGGAGUGACCGUGGCCUGGCCGUGGCGCCCUCCGUCCCCUGGCACCCCGCGAGCGGGCGCAGGGCCUGGUGGCUUCUGGGAGGCCACGGGGGGCAGGGUACAGGGUGCCUGGGGCACCAUGUGAGUUCUUGUGGUGCACCUCCUGUCCCAGGGAGGGGACCCUCCGCCCCCCACCCCAGGCCUCUUCCCUGCCUCGAGACAAGCUGCCCCUCCCAUCCACCAUCCCACUCCAACGGCACAGCAGCCUUGGGGUGGGAGUGACGACCCAUCUAUCCCCCAAGGUGGAGGCUGAGGCUCGGAGGGGGAGUGUCCUAACCAGGUGCUGCAGCUGGACCCAGCCGUGUGCCCCUCCCCCCCAAAACCUCCCUGAGAAAGAGCCCUCAGGAUGCACCCCGUCCCACGGGAAACACCGGGAUGGGGCUGAGCCUCCAGCGAAAACCUAAAACCAAGUUUUCUGGAAUUUUUUUGAAAAUGAAACAGAAUGUGUCCAAGAUGGGAGUGUCAGGAAGCCAGUCGGUAUUGAAGUACCUGCUCUCAGAGAAGAUGGUCUCUGUCUACUGUCCCCUCCCUUUCCCCUCCUGACAGCCCUGCAAGGCAGGUGAGGAUGGGCUGACGACGCGUUUUUCAGAUGAGGAAACUGAGGCACAGAGAGGCUGCCCAGCCAGGACUUGGGGCUCACCCAGGUGACUCCUGCCCUGGGCAUCUCUCUCCAGCGCUAAUGCCCACCCACCCCUUGAGAGGUCUGGGGCCUUGGGGAGGGGACUUAGGCAGAUCCCAGCAACCCUGGUUCCCUUGUCUGGAAUCGCAGAAGCCAGAGGCCUGAGGAGGUUGUGCUCAGAUGCUCCAAAUAGUCACCAAUUCCUCCAUCUCAUGCUGUCCCCGAAUUUACAGUGACGUGAACCAGCGAAGUGACCGCUCGUGGAGCACCCGCACGGUGCUGGCAGCGUGCAGUCACCUGUAACCUCAGUGCUGGGCUGGGGCCUUCGGUCCAUGGCAAGAAGAGGUAAAAUCUGUUGACAUGGUGAUGGAUGGGAUGGGGGGGCAAGGGGGCCAGAGGGAGAAGGAAGCCCCUAGUCCUGCCCUCAAGGAGCCACAGUCCAGGAGGAGUGACAUAUCAGUAAAGAGCCAGCAUGUUGCAAGACAGGCAGCCUGGGAGCUCAUCACCAGGCUGGGAGGUGGGGGAAGGAGGGCUUCCUGGAGGAGGUGACUGUGCAUGGAGCCUCAAAAGAUGAGUGAAAGUUCACCAGGCAAAGAAAUUGGGAGAGAAGGUGGGGACGGAGCUGGUGUCGGGGGUGAGGCUGGGAAGACGGCGAGCGGUAUGUGUUGGUGUGGGGAGGCCCCACUAGGCCCGUGUGCUGGAGCAGAGCGGGAGCAGGGAAGGUGGGAGAGCUGGGCAGAGGGAAAGAGCCGUGUGGGAUACAGAGGGCAGGGAAGAAGGGCUCCUGAAGACUGCACUGGAUCCUGAGGGCAGUGGGGUGGUCACUGAAGGAUUUUAAAGGGGUCGGAUUUGUGUUCUAGAAAGAUCUUACGGGCUGGAUCUAUGCCAGUCUGGUUUAUGACUGUUUUCCCAGCACCCAGCUCAGUAACGGGCACACAGUAGGGGCUCGAUAAAUGUUUUCAAUCAAUACAUGAAUGCCAACAGUGUACCCUGAGGCUGUGGUUGACUCCAGCACUGGGACCUUGGGCCCUCAGUUUCCUUGCUUGUAAAACGAGGGUAACAACACCUGCCUCUUGGGAGGUGAAAGGAAGUAGCACGGGCAAGGCCUCCCUCGGUGUCCUGCACGUGGUCAGCCCGCCACGAUCCGAGCAGCAUGUGCUGUGGGCAAGACAGAGGCAGGGACCCGGGUCAGGAGCGGUGGAGUCACCCAGGUGAGAGAAUAAUAUUAACAACAACAAUAAUGUUUAUUAAGGGCUUAAGUUCUGGGACUCCCUUAGUGGUCCAGUGGUUAAGAUUCUGUGCUUCCAUUGCAGGGGGCGGGGGUUCGAUCCCUGGUCGAUGAACUAAGAUCCUACAUGCUGUGUGGUGUGGCCACAAAAAAAAAAAAAAAGGGCUUAAGUUCUUUACAUAUUUUAUUCAUAUAAUCUUCAAGACAAGUGAAUGGAGAAGGCAGUAUUUUAUAGGUCAUCCCAAUUUUAUCGUCCAGGAAACUGAGGAUCAGACAGGUGAGGUGACUGGCCCGAGGCCCUGAGGCCAGUGAGUGGUGGACAGAACUGCACUGGACACCAGAGCCCAGCUUGUGACCACUAAGCUGGUGAUGGAGACAGGUCAGGGCAGCCACCAGGGCAGGGAGAGGUGGGGGGACAGAGUCAGACUGAUGGAUCAGAUGGUGGGGGCAGGCCUUGGAGAGGGAGGUAUCAAGGAUGCCCCUAGCUUCUGGCCUGGAUGACCAGGUGGAAGGUCAUUCCAUUUCCUGAGUGAGGGACACAGCGGGAUAGGCAGGCUUGGGGAGGAAGGACACGCUGAGUCUGAGGGGCUGUUAGGGUGUCUGGGUGGGGAUGCCCGGGAGGUCUGGAGUCUAGGCGGGGUGGUCUGGAUGAGGGCGAAAUGAGCUCAUAGGGCAAGUGGAAGGCAUGUGGGUGGGUGGAGGAGCCCCAGCCCUGGAGGUGAUGUCGACAGCAGACGUUACACAGCGUUGACUCUGGGCCAGACAUGAUCCUAAGCCCUGGUAUUAUUUCAAUUCUCCCAACAAACCCUGCGAGGGAACACCAUUACCAUCCCCAUUUUAUAGAUGGGGAAACUCAGGCAAGAGACAUUCCGUUUGGAAUGUCAGAAUAGGUACAUCUGUAGAGACAGAGAGUAGAGUGGUGGUUCCCUAGGGCUGGGGAGUUAAGGGAUGAUGUCUAAAGGGUACAGGGUUUAUUUUGGGGGGUGAUGAAAAUGUCCUAAAAUGAUUGUGGUGAUGGCUGUACAACUCUAUAAAUAUACUAAAAAACAUUGAACUGUGUACUUCAGAUGCGUGAAUUACAUGUCAAUAAAGCCAGGGGAGAGAGAGAGGCGCCCAGCCAGUAGAGGGAAGCAGGGCUUGAGGGGCAGGGGAGCCUCGGGAGCGGGAAGGAGGGUGGUUUGGGUGAGAAGCUGGGGGAGGAUGCUGUCUGCAGCAUGAGCUGCUCCCGACUGGUCCAGGGUGUGAGACCUGGACGUUCCUUGGAGUUUGUCAGUCCAGGUUCCCUGGUGACCUGGUCCACACUGGUUGGGGACCCGGCCCUGUGGGUGGACGGGCCCUUCUGGCAGUGGAGAUCGCAAGAGGAGUGCGUCAUCCUUUGGGACCUGGAUGGAGAUCUCUCCACCUCAGGAAGCAGUAAACCCCCAACCAGGAAGCUUUGGAGGCUUGCCGCCCCUGACUUUGGGUGGAGGCUGGGGAGGAAUGAGGGUAGGAAAAUGCCUCAGUUGCUCUUCCUGAAAGAGCGAGACCCCCAGUCAACAGCUCACCCAGAAGUUUCGCACCUCAGCUUCUCCCACAAGAGGGCCCUGGAAUCUGCUGGGGGUCCAGGAGGAUGGGAGGGUGUGAAGGGAAGGCUGGGGUAUGGCGGUCCCCCUUCCUCCCGGCACUGAUGCUGGUCACUGCCAGGAGCACAUCCAGGCCUCCCGACUGAGAAUGGCUGCGACCGACCCAUGGUCCCAGCCAAGGAUGGGGCUGCGCGGAGAGGCUCGAGGGGCCCCCUGGGCGUGUGAAGAGCAGGAGAUGAGGCAGCUCUGGGCAGCUCCCCAGGCCUUCUGUGGCCACAGCCGCCGUGCCCCUUUUGUUCAGGGUUCAUUUAGCCCCCUGCACCCCCGCCCCAUGCCUCAGGACUUGUCUCCGUGAUGCAGGAGGCUGGCAGGGAGACUGGGUUGGGCCUGCGCUCAGGACCUCCAUGGGGCCAGGAUCCCGAGAGGGGGGCGGAGCAUGCGUGAUUCUCUCAGGAGGCUGAGGCUCAGAGGGUCUUGCUGGAGUCCCUACACCCCCAUCAGGCACUUCUCCCUGGGGAGCCCCGCACGGCCCCACUCAGAGCCCAUUUCUUCUCCUUUAUUUCUAUUUUUAUUUUUUGUGUUACGCGGGCCACUCACUGUUGUGGCCUCUCCCGUUGCGGGCACAGGCUCCGGACGCGCAGGUUCAGCGGCCAUGGCUCACGGGCACAGCCGCUCCGCGGCAUGUGGGAUCUUCCCGGACCGGGGCACGAACCCGCGUCCCCUGCAUCGGCAGGCGGACUCUCAACCACUGCACCACCAGAGAAGCCCCUCUACUUUUUGAUGCAGUUGUGGUGCUUCGAUUUCCUAGAUCAGAGCAGAAGAAGAUCAUUAGAAACGUGCAUGGAGGGAGGGAGGGAGGGUCCAGAAAGAGGGAAAUAGUUGCUAAAACUCAAAACAUUUGCCGAGAGGGUCUGUAUUAUAUUUAAUUAUUCUUAUCGUAAAACAAACGCAAACCACAGUUGCUGACUUGGCUUUAACAACAUUUGUAGCGCACUCUAAGGGAGGACCCCGAGCCACUGUAUAACAACAGGCCACCUGUGGGCACUGCCAGGCGGCUGGUCACAGGACCCAUGGAUGCUGUCCUGGCUGUCACUGCUGAAUGCCUUGAUACAAGUGGAGGCUGCAUUUGUAGGACAUUUUGUUAAAGCAGGCUAGGUAUAAAUAAAGACUUAUGCCCACAGAUGCCUACUGCAACUCACAGAAUAGUGAAAACCUGGCCACUGCCUCAGUGUUCAGCACUGGGGGCUUGGGGCUUGGCGAAAUGAAUCACAGCACCUUCCUAUGACAGAAUGUGAUGCAGCCACUAAAAAUGAUGCUUAUGAAAAAUUGUAAUAACAUAGGAAACGCUUUUGGUAUAAAACCAGGAUACAAAAUGGUAUUUGCAUAUAUAUUACAUCAAUAGAAAGAGAAAAGGAAAAACUAACUGCUGUGAGCUCGACUUCAUUUCACAACAUAUAAGGAAAAAACAGAAAACACAAAAACGCUCACCUUAUUUAUUUCUGGGUGGUGGGAUUUAGAGUGAUUUUUAAAUUUUUAGUACUUUGUCUUUUAUUGUAUUUCCAAAUUUCUACAAUAAACACUUUCAAGUUUGAAAGUUAUUUGAAGUAAA
Long non-coding RNA from Orcinus orca (killer whale), 10494 nucleotides. RefSeq lists it as uncharacterized. NCBI's taxonomy places the organism in Eukaryota, Metazoa, Chordata, Mammalia, Artiodactyla, Delphinidae. The record is from RefSeq and is a predicted model, not a curated record. The transcript has 2 exons.